Molecule: RNA transcript, 1975 nt
Organism: Oncorhynchus keta (chum salmon)
Lineage: Eukaryota; Metazoa; Chordata; Actinopteri; Salmoniformes; Salmonidae
Gene: hnrnpd
Gene name: heterogeneous nuclear ribonucleoprotein D
Exons: 8
Source: RefSeq, a predicted model, not a curated record
AUGUCGGACCUUGAAACAGGUGAAGAUCCAACUGUGGUGAAAAUGGAGGAGGACGGAGAGGCUAGCACCGAAGAGCAGACGCCGACUGUUGCAGAGGGCGGCCAGGCAGGAGAAUCCGAGGGAUCAAAGAUUGAUGCCAGCAAAAACGAAGAGGAUGAGGGGAAAAUGUUUGUUGGUGGUCUGAGCUGGGACACAACAAAGAAGGAUUUGAAGGAUUACUUCUCCAAGUUUGGGGAGGUGGUAGACUGCACCCUGAAGCUUGACCCCAUGACAGGCCGGUCCCGAGGGUUCGGCUUUGUUCUGUUUAAAGCAGCUAACAGCGUUGAUAAGGUAGUUUUACAGAAGGACCACAAGCUGAAUGGGAAGGUGAUCGACCCUAAGAAGGCCAAGGCCAUGAAGAACAAGGAGCCCAUCAGAAAGGUCUUUGUAGGAGGUCUUUCUCCAGAUACUCCAGAGGAGAAGAUCAGAGAAUAUUUUGGUGCCUUUGGAGAGGUGGAGUCCAUUGAGCUCCCCAUGGAAACCAAAACCAACAAGAGACGAGGCUUUUGCUUCAUCACCUUCAAAGAGGAGGAGAGAGUAAAGAAGAUCAUGGAGAAAAAGUACCAUAAUAUAGGAUUAAGCAAGUGUGAGAUUAAGGUGGCCAUGUCCAAGGAGCAGUACCAGCAGCAGCACUGGGGGGGAGGAGGCAGAGGGGGAUACCCCUCCAGGCCUCCCGGCAGACAGGGACCCAAUCAGAAUUGGAACCAGGGAUAUGGCAACUACUGGAACCAAGGUUACGGCAACAACUACGGCAACAACUACGGCAACUAUGGCUACAACAACCAAGGCUACGGUGGCUAUGAUUACUCUGGUUACAACAACUAUUACGGCGGAUAUGGUGACUACAGCACAGACCAGCAGGGUGGUUAUGGGAAGUCCCCCAGGCGAGGUGGUCACCAGAACAAUUACAAGCCGUAUUGAUGUAACAGAAGUACCACACCCACAGACAGGUAUGUUUUAUAAGUCACCUACAACAAACCUAGAUAAUGUGCAAUGUAUCUACCUCUGUAUAAUAAUAAUAAUAAUAAACCCUCAUAAUGUUUUUCUCUUUAUAGUUUUUCACAGCACCUGAAAAGUGCUUUACAGUAGUCUUAACAUAGAGGCUACAGUCUUUUUUUGGUGAAUUAUUUCUGCUGCCUCUUAUGAGCCAUUUUGUAACUGUAAAGUUAACAGGUAUAGUACUACUAUUACUACAGUAAAAUGGAUACCAAGAGUUAAGGAUUUACAAGGGAAAAGAGAGUGAAAGAGAGAAAAUAAUAAUGUUGUCUCCUAACUCUGACAUAUACCUUGUUUGUACCUGCCAGCGGAGCUUCCUUGCAGGCCAUGAGCUGACCUCCCCGGUACUCUCUGGCCCGCUCAAUGCGGACCGGGUACGAGAGGCGUACGCUCUCGAAUGCUGCCAUUUGGUAUGGUCUUCCAACAUCCUGUCUCAGCAUUGUAAAUAAAAACUAAGUGGGACAUGUCCGGCUUUGUCCACUUUUUUUAUUUUCAUUUGUUUAAUUUCUGUAAUGUGUUUUUUUGUAAUGUAAAACUUAAAUACAAAUUAUGUAAUUUUAAUGCCAUUUUUUACAGGCCCUUACUCCCCCGUCAAGUAAUGGUAAAUUACAACAUGAUACUGAGAAAAUAACUAUUUACUUUUCAAAGGACACGGCUUUCUCUGGACUUUCCAGUGUCUUUUUCAUUCCUAAUCAUACCUGUAAUUCUUGCUUUUCUUUAUUUAGCUCUUGUAGCAGUAAUAGCCAGUAGUCCAUGAGCUAAAACCUGGUUUGUACUUGGAUGCUACUGCGUUGGAGAAGAUGGAAGAUUGAAGGAUAUCUUGUGAAGGAGCGUUGGCAGACGAAGUGACAGGUUUCAGUCAAGAGUUUCCUUUAUUAUGGACGGCUUGAGGCAGGACACAGUCAGAGUAUUCAGUUGAUCUACGCACAUUGAAUUUAUG